RNAcentral lists this ribosomal RNA (498 nucleotides) under uncultured bacterium. RNAcentral describes it as "bacterial SSU rRNA". It matches the Rfam family "Bacterial small subunit ribosomal RNA", at positions 28 to 526 of the family's 1533-position model. The record is from RNAcentral.
GAUGAACGCUGGCGGCGUGCCUAACACAUGCAGGUCGAGCGAGAACCGUCGGAAUGACACUUCGGUAGAAUGAAAGCGGGGAAAGCGGCGGACGGGUGAGUAACGCGUAGGUAACCUGCCCCAUACACAGGGAUAGCCUAGGGAAACCUGGAUUAAUACCUGAUGAAGCAACUGGUCGCAUGACCGGCUGCCAAAGAUUUAUCGGUAUGGGAUGGACCUGCGUCUGAUUAGUGAGUUGGUGGGGUAAUGGCCUACCAAAGCGACGAUCAGUAGCCGACCUGAGAGGGUGAUCGGCCACAUUGGAACUGAGACACGGUCCAAACUCCUGCGGGAGGCAGCAGUGGGGGAUAUUGCACAAUGGGCGGAAGCCUGAUGCAGCAACGCCGCGUGAGCGAAGAAGGUCUUCGGAUCGUAAAGCUCUGUCCUGGGGGAAGAAACAAAUGACGGUACCCCGGGAGGAAGCCCCGGCUAACUACGUGCCAGCAGCCGCGGUAAACU